AGAUUGAACGCUGGCGGCAUGCCUUACACAUGCAAGUCGAACGGCAGCACGGGAGCAAUCCUGGUGGCGAGUGGCGAAACGGGUGAGUAAUAUAUCGGAACGUGCCCAGUCGUGGGGGAUAACGCAGCGAAAGCUGUGCUAAUACCGCAUACGAUCUAUGGAUGAAAGGCGGGGGAUCGCAAGCCUCGCGCGAUUGGGACGCGGCCGUAUAUCAGAUUAGGUAGGUUGGGUAGGGGUAAAGGCUACAACCAAGUCCUUCGAUUCC
Molecule: ribosomal RNA, 265 nt
Filed under: uncultured soil bacterium
Lineage: Bacteria
Description: partial 16S ribosomal RNA
Rfam family: Bacterial small subunit ribosomal RNA
Source: RNAcentral